This 460-nucleotide ribosomal RNA is filed under the name uncultured bacterium. RNAcentral's name for it is "partial 16S ribosomal RNA". It matches the Rfam family "Bacterial small subunit ribosomal RNA", at positions 338 to 795 of the family's 1533-position model. The record is from RNAcentral.
CCUACGGGAGACAGCAGUGAGGAAUAUUGGUCAAUGGGCGCUAGCCUGAACCAGCCAAGUAGCGUGAAGGAUGACUGCCCUAUGGGUUGUACACUUCUUUUAUAUGGGAAUAAAGUGCAGUAUGUAUACUGCUUUGCAUGUACCUUAUGAAUAAGGAUCGGCUAACUCCGUGCCAGCCGCCGCGGUAAUACGGAGGAUCCGAGCGUUAUCUGGAUUUAUUGGGUUUAAAGGGAGCGUAGGCGGGUUGUUAAGUCAGUUGUGAAAGUUUGCGGCUCAACCGUAAAAUUGCAGUUGUUACUGGCAUCCUUGAGUACAGUAGAGGUAGGCGGAAUUCGUGGUGUAGCAGUGAAAUGCUUAGAUAUCACGAAGAACUCCGAUUGCGAAGGCAGCCUGCUGGACUGUAACUGACGCUGAUGCUCGAAAGUGUGGGUAUCAAACAGGAUUAGAUACCCCUGUAGUC